CGGAGAGGUACCAGGAUCCGGCUCAAAUAGGUUCGGAACAAAACAGUCCAAAACAGAGAGGUACCAGGAUCCGGCUCAAAUAGGUUCGGAACAUAACAGUCAAAAACGGAGAGGUACCAGGAUCCGGCUCAAAUAGGUUCGGAACAUAACAGUCAAAAACGGAGAGGUACCAGGAUCCGGCUCAAAUAGGUUCGGAACAUAACAGUCAAAAACGGAGAGGUACCAGGAUCCGGCUCAAAUAGGUUCGGAACAAAACAGUCCAAAACGGAAAGGUACCAGGAUCCGGCUCAAAUGAAGCACUGGCUACUACUAUGUCAUCAUAGUUCAUGGCCAUACCAUCUAGGUAUACGUUGUAAUUUCUAAAGUGAGAUGAGGCCUCACUUCACCACCUACUACUCACUGAAUGACCUUCAUAUGUACUACCCCUCAAUAAAGGUAGCUAGCAAAACAUUCAACGUUUUCUACCACCAUGAACGAAUCUAGGCCAUGGAACCAUCCUUUCUUACAGGGUAGCCAUGUGCAAAGCAAUUAUAGUGAGUUGAGUCUUCGUUAAUUAUGUCUAGGAAAUGCAUCAAGGUCUCCAGGGCUAGGCCUAUUU
This 598-nucleotide long non-coding RNA is filed under the name Salmo salar (Atlantic salmon). RNAcentral describes it as "lncRNA (ENSSSAG00000113776.1)". Lineage: Eukaryota; Metazoa; Chordata; Actinopteri; Salmoniformes; Salmonidae. The record is from RNAcentral.